Non-coding RNA from Phalacrocorax carbo (great cormorant), 3444 nucleotides. NCBI's taxonomy places the organism in Eukaryota, Metazoa, Chordata, Aves, Suliformes, Phalacrocoracidae. The record is from RefSeq and is a predicted model, not a curated record.
CAGAUGAGUAUGGAGGAGUGAAAACAGGCAAAAUAUAUUGUAAUAACUCUACACAGCAGCAUAGCAGUCUGCAGCUCCCACAUUUCAGGAACCAGAGGAAAUUUCUCUCUUUUUAAGAGCAUUUGGUGGAUUCCCCUUCCAUUAGUUUGUACAGAUGCUGUCUGUUGGGGUGAAAACGUCUGGCAUCCACAAGGUCCAGCAGCAGCAGAUGCACAGCUUCAUUACAGAUCUCCAUCAGGUCAUUUUAAGCCUGAUGCCUCAGACAUAAAACAGCAGGGACAAAGAGUAUCACGUAAGAUGGAAAAUGCCAAUUUCAAACCUCCCACUGAGUACCCCAGCAUGAACUACAGCAGUUAAUCUACAGGAGCUGACUAUUAACAUUCCUCCUUGUCCCCAAACCCUCCAUGGACAUAACCUUUACCGAUAUGCAGCAUCUCCCUUGCCUCUCCUGUGUCUCCUGUAGUGAAGACCAGCACCAAGCACAGAGAGGAUCCAGAACAGAUGCGAUGCACAAAAUUAAAAACAUAGUGGGAGAACAGCCAGUUACCUGCAAAUGAAGUUAUGUACUUGUCACCACCAGACCAGCCGUGGGGCUGGAGCAGCCCUGGGCUGCCCAUUAGAGGCUGCAGAACUCCUGUGCUCCAGCACCACCCUCUUGUUCUCACUUCCCAGAGCCCUCAGGGUCUGACCUACGGCCAGGAAGAGCCUCUCACCUCUCCAGGUCUUGCUUCACAAGGGAUUGAGCUCUCCUGACAGUCCUUGUCUUUCCUCCUGUUCUCCUGCCAAAAAUGUCUGUAAAUUCCAGCUUUUUCCUUGGCAACUCCCUCAAAAGGCAAGAGCGUAAGGGAGGAGCUUCCCCCCCCUGUUUUUUUUUCCUGGUAGCCAAUUCCCUGGCUGGCUGAGUUCAACUCAUUUGUUUCUACUGAAUGUUUGCUUUUUGAGCUGCUGUAAAAUUAGAUGGCAGGAAGCCUAGAACUCCUGCGUAGGCAUCUUCCUUACCAUCUCCUAAGCCAUGAAGCACAGAAAUGGUGUGUUCGUUCCAGUGAAGAAAGCCUGGCCAACAUUUCCACAAGCCUUACAAAUGCUUUGAAACCCAGUGUUGAAAGCUCAUGGACUGAUUAGGACUCGCGUCCCACAGGAGAAAUCCCAACCUAACAAAACAAUAACGCCAGUAUUGAGAAGGAGCCAGACCCUGAGAGGUGUUGGAGCUCUAAGUUUUGAAAAUGCCAGAUAUUUCUAAAUCUGAUGCCUAAACUACUAAGCUGUCCCAUCAGGCAUUAGUGGAAGUAUUUAUUAUUUUUAAUACAUGCUGCCUGCCGGCAGAGGCAAACAAAGUAAAAGAGAAAUGACAAGUGCCCCUUCAAAGGGACUGCCAGCUGAAACAAGAAAUCUGUAGGUAUAGUUCAGACUUUGUACUUUCGAAUGCAUGUGCACCUACAAAGAGAGACAAAGAAUUACAAUCAUGCUAUUCCUGACUCCAACCAUUUCUUUGCAUUUAAAAAUACACAGAAUGCCAUGAACAUUCAUUAUUCUUUAAUGGCACACUUUGGCCAGGAGAACCGAAUGUAGGAAAAUGAAAGACCCAGUUUGCUAUUGAAAAUUGAAGGCUUCUCAUUAAAAGUUUUUAAAAAGAAAAGUGUAAUAGUCAGGAGAAAGUGUCUACUUUUAACUCCUUUCUCUUGUUCCUCCCCAACUGUGCUCUGGGCCAUGAAGAUUAAGAAAGUAUUAAGAAAGAAUGCUUAAUAAUGGUGGCCUUUACUUAAGAGCAGACUGCCAAAACAGUAAGGGAAGGUUAAUCUGAUUAAAAUAAUGACGACAUUUACCAAACCAGAAACUUGGCUUUUAAUAAGGAAGCCUACAUGCAAAACAAUAAUUUUCACAUUUUUUUGUGAAAAGAUGACUAUUUUAUGAUAGACUAUAAAAGGUUGUGUUCAGCUGUCUUUGGGAUUUACAAGGUGUUAAUAACAGACGUCCCAUAACUUGUUUACCAUACCAGAAAUACAUUCAGAUAAAUGCCAUCAUCAUGGAUGAGUGAUGUUAGUCUAAGAGGGCUCAAAGUUCCCUGGAGUCAAUGCACAACCUUUUCACAGUCUUCCUUGGUAACAUCUUAUCUGAAAUAGGACAGGCAUAAAAUUUAGAUCAUGUUAGUAACAGCAAAAGACAUGACACAUGGCACAUCCACUUCAUGAAGACUAAUCCAUGGAGAGACAAUAAGUUAUUCCCUAGUUAAUCUGUUUUGUGGACCACAGAGUUUUGCGCAACUGAAGCCAGCAGUGUGCAGCACAAGCCCCCCCCAGACAGACCCCAAACAACCCAGCAUUUGCCCAAAUCUGGUCCUUGUAGCAUCCCAGCGACUCUGCAAAAGGCAGCAGCUCUCAGAUUCCACUCAAUUUCUACUGGCACACGCAACCCCUAAUUUAGGAAGAAAAGGUUACAGGGUGGCACACCCUCACUGAAAAAGUGCCAACACCUGCUUUACAAUAGCCCUUUUUAAAUUCCAGGAUCUCUUCCAGCCAGUUUCAUCUAACUUCCAUUUCAUUUUAUUUCUACAGCCUCUUUGCUCACAUACCUUUUAAGUCAUUAUUUCCCAAAGUGAAAGAUAAUGUACCAUUAUUAUCCUAUAUCUUAAGAAAACGUGAUACAAUACUAGAUCGAUAUCCCAGCCUACUACUAAAUGGCUGCACAGCCAGCCACAAAUCUUCCCGUCCUUAUCACUCAAAUAGUGAAAUACCUAAGGUUCUUUUCCACAAAAAGCUCUUCCACAUUUGGUAUGUUUUUCAUUUAAUGGCUUUAUUCCUUCUUUAAGUGAGUUGCACAUAUUCUAAUGAUGCAUUUCCCUUAUUAUGUCUCCAUCUGCAAUUUAUUCAUUUGUAUGAAUUUAACUCUGGUGAACAGUAAAUUCAGAGACAGAAGAAACAGCAAGCAGUCAUUGUACAAAAUUCUCCAAACCCAUCUGCCUUCAUUUUGGUACAAGAGCAAUCAAACAUCUAGUGCUCAGUGGUGGACCAUCCUCUGUUCCAGCUGACAUACCACAAAGUCUCUGAUGACGAGGCCAACGAGAAUAAAAUUGUCAUCUUUCUUUCAGGAAGAGAAUCUCAAAUAUUUUUUCUGCUCCAUCAGUCUCAUGUGGGCCAGAACUGCCAUCCUGUGGUAGCAACCUUGAUCCAGUGCUCCAGUGCACAUAAGCCACAGACCUCCUUUUAUAUACAGCUUACUUGGAGAACGGGGCUCAUUUGGAGAGGAAAGGCAUGGAGGAUAUUUCCUAUCAUAAUACUAUUACAACAGUAUCAUAAAAAUUGAAAACAGUGGUCACGAGGUAUGAUUCCUUACCAGUCUUACAAGUCACCAAUACCUAGCCUGUUUCACUUGUUAAAAAAAAAAAAAAAUCUCUAGUUAAACUGUGGUUGUUUUGUUUUAAAUAAAAACACAUCUGGUUUCCAAGCA